UCAAAUUCAUCAUACUUCACAUCUUCUGUUGAUGCUUCUACAUAUAAUUAUUUAUGGAAAUUUUUCCUGAUUGGUAUCUUUUGCGACCGAAUUUGAUUUUAGGGUUUUCAUACCUUGUGUUGCUUGAUUAAUUGAUUGUGGAAUUAGAUUGUUGAUUGUGUUUUGAUUGAAACCUUGGUUUUCUGAUUGAAUUGUGUUGUUGAUAUGGUUGGGACAAUUUCUUCUUCUUCUUCUACACAGUCACAAACUCUUGAAUUUUCCAUAGAUUCUAAUAUGCAUCCAUUGUUCAUAC
RNAcentral lists this long non-coding RNA (292 nucleotides) under Panax ginseng (ginseng). RNAcentral's name for it is "long non-coding RNA (PGIN_LNC014067)". The record is from RNAcentral. Lineage: Eukaryota; Viridiplantae; Streptophyta; Magnoliopsida; Apiales; Araliaceae.